This is a long non-coding RNA of Xenia sp. Carnegie-2017, 102 nucleotides long. RefSeq lists it as uncharacterized. The transcript has 3 exons. Lineage: Eukaryota; Metazoa; Cnidaria; Anthozoa; Malacalcyonacea; Xeniidae. The record is from RefSeq and is a predicted model, not a curated record.
ACGCCAAAAACUGGUCUAGAUAGUCCUACUCCUGUAAAUUACCCGCUCAGGUGAUACCUACCUCACUCAACGCCUGGACUAUGUUAGACAAUAUUGUAUAAU